This 506-nucleotide ribosomal RNA is filed under the name uncultured bacterium. RNAcentral describes it as "partial 16S ribosomal RNA". It matches the Rfam family "Bacterial small subunit ribosomal RNA", at positions 30 to 523 of the family's 1533-position model. The record is from RNAcentral.
AUUGAACGCUGGCGGCAGGCCUAACACAUGCAAGUCGAACGGUAACAGGAAGCAGCUUGCUGCUUCGCUGACGAGUGGCGGACGGGUGAGUAAUGUCUGGGAAACUGCCUGAUGGAGGGGGAUAACUACUGGAAACGGUAGCUAAUACCGCAUAACGUCGCAAGACCAAAGAGGGGGACCUUCGGGCCUCUUGCCAUCGGAUGUGCCCAGAUGGGAUUAGCUAGUAGGUGGGGUAACGGCUCACCUAGGCGACGAUCCCUAGCUGGUCUGAGAGGAUGACCAGCCACACUGGAACUGCGACACGGUCCAGACUCCUACGGGAGGCAGCAGUUGGGAAUAUUGGACAAUGGGCGCAAGCCUGAUGCAGCCAUGCCGCGUGUAUGAAGAAGGCCUUCGGGUUGUAAAGUACUUUCAGCGGGGAGGAAGGCGAUAAGGUUAAUAACCUUGUCGAUUGACGUUACCCGCAGAAGAAGCACCGGCUAACUCCGUGCCAGCCGCCGCAGUAA